RNAcentral lists this long non-coding RNA (1499 nucleotides) under Macaca mulatta (Rhesus monkey). RNAcentral describes it as "lncRNA (ENSMMUG00000061027.1)". Lineage: Eukaryota; Metazoa; Chordata; Mammalia; Primates; Cercopithecidae. The record is from RNAcentral.
GCACACUCGUAUCAGUUAUGUAUUUAAGAGUAUUCCUUAGUUUUAUUGCUGCCUUCCAGAGGCAGCUUCCUGAAGAAAUAUUUGAGGUCCUCUGUAAGCUUCCAGGAGUAGACUGUUUCCUCCGAGAAGGCCUGUUCGUCAGAAGAAGCAAAAGGUUUUAUUCUAGAGACAUGGACUCAAGUCGGAAGUCCUUCCAACGUUAUGACCGUUGGAGUGGACAAGAUAACCUGGGCCCCGGUAUCCAUUCAUCAAGCCUCUAGCACCACGGGAGCCUCCACGAGACACACCACGACUAUUGUAAUAGGGCUGAUUGCUACGUGGAAAUCCAGUGUUCUGCUGAGGAGGCUGCUGGUGGUUACCAGUCACUUGAUGGGACUGGUCCGGGGAACCAUGGUAAGUGCCAACCACUGUUUGAAGCUAUUCUUGCUGAAGCUCUGUUUGUUCUACUUGGUGAGGCUGACUAGAAAAGCUCUGGUUAUAACUGGCCUGGUACUGAUUUUGCUGUUUUAAAGUUUCUGGUUCACAGCUUUUCCAGUUAAAUUGGAGCACUGAACGUUCAGAUGCAUACCAAAUUAUGCAUGGGUCCUAAUCACACCUAUAAGGCUGGCUACCAGCUUUGACACAGCACUGUUCAUCUGGCCAAACAACUGUGGUUAAAAACACAUGUAAAAUGCUUUUUAACAGCUGAUACUGUAUAAGACAAAGCCAAGAUGCAAAAUUAGGCUUUGAUUGGCACUUUUUGAAAAAUAUGCAACAAAUAUGGGAUGUAAUCUGGAUGGCCGCUUCUGUACUUAAUGUGAAAUAUUUAGAUACCUUUUUGAACACUUAACAGUUUUUUUGAGACAAUGACUUUUGUAAGGAUUGGUACUAUCAUUCCUUAUGACAUGUACAUUGUCUGUCACUAAUCCUUGGAUUUUGCUGUAUUGUCACCUAAAUUGGUACAGGUAUUGAUGAAAUCUCUAGUGGAUAAUCAUAACACUCUUGGUCACAUGUUUUUCCUUCAGCUUGAAAGCUUUUUUUUAAAAGGAAAAGAUACCAAAUGCCUGCUGCUACCACCCUUUUCAAUUGCUAUCUUUUGAAAGGCACCAGUAUGUGUUUUAGAUUGAUUUCCCUGUUUCAGGGAAGUCACAGACGGUAGUUUCAGUUCUGAUGGUAUAAGCAAAACAAAUAAAACAUGUUUAUAAAAAAAAAAUUAUUGGAGAUUUUUUUCUUAAUGUUACCAAAACAUCAAAAUCAGUAACUAACUAAAGAAAGAAACAAAAAAGGAAGUAAAAUCAUACAAAAAAAUAACUGAUAAGAGGGAGGAAAUUUAAAUAAAAUCUAAAGAUACUACUUUUCAGACCUCUUUGUAAAUACGUUGAAAACCUAGAAAAAUUGAUAAUUUUUAAUGAAAAUCCACUUACUAAAAAUAAGCUCGUUCGAUAUAGAAAAUUUAAGCAGACCAACUUUCAUAGGAAUAGAGAAAGUUUUAAGGAUUUACCUUACAUUUUAAAAAAGUC